GAACGUGCCGGAGUUAAAGUGGCGGAAACUUAGUUUCCGUCUUUUGUCAAGUGCAAAUAGCUUGGAGAAUAAGGUGUGGGCAAGACUGGUGGCAGCCGCCGCGGUAACACCAGCGCCUCGAGUGGUACCCACGAAUAUUGGGCCUAAAGCGCCCGUAGCCGGACCAUUAAGUCCGCUGUGAAAUGUUGGGGCUCAACCCUAACGCGCGCAGUGGAUACUGUUGGUCUUGGGAAUGGGGGAGGGUCGGGGUACUUCCAGGUAGGGGUAAAAUCCGUUGAGCCCGGAAGGACCACCAGUGGCGAAGGCGCCGAUCCAAAACAUAUCCGACGGUGAGGGACGAAAGCUGGGGGAGCGAACGGGAUUAGAUACCCCGGUAGUCCCAGCUGUAAAUGAUGCAGACUUGGUGUUGCUCAUGAGUAAUCAUGGGCAGUGCUGUAGCGUAGGUGUUAAGUCUGCCGCCUGGGGAGUACGAUCGCAAGAUUGAAACUUAAAGGAAUUGGCGGGGGAGCACCACAAGCCGUGGAUGCUACGGUUUAAUUGGAUACAACGCCGGAAAUAUCACCAAGCGCGACGGCAGUAUGAAGGCCAGACUAGAGAUCUUGCCUGAUGAGCCGAGAGGUAUUGCAUGGCCAUCGUCAGCUCGUGGUGUGAACUGUCCUGUUAAGUCAGGCAACGAGCGAGACCCAUGCCAUUAGUUACUAAUUUUCUUCUCCGGAAGAGAUGGAACUCUAAUGGGACUGCCCGUGCUAAAUGGGAGGAAGGAGUGGGCAACGGUAGGUCAGUAUGAUCCGAAACGCUUGGGCUACACGCGGCAUACAGUGGAUGGAACCUGGGCUGCGACUCCGAAAGGAGGAGCCAAUCCUCUAAAUCCAUCCGUGGUUCGGAUCGAGGUUACAACUCACCCUCGUGAAGAUGGAAUGGCUUAAAUCGC
Molecule: ribosomal RNA, 931 nt
Filed under: uncultured archaeon
Lineage: Archaea
Description: bacterial SSU rRNA
Rfam family: Archaeal small subunit ribosomal RNA
Source: RNAcentral